RNAcentral lists this ribosomal RNA (268 nucleotides) under uncultured Geobacillus sp. RNAcentral's name for it is "partial 16S ribosomal RNA". It matches the Rfam family "Bacterial small subunit ribosomal RNA", at positions 1112 to 1382 of the family's 1533-position model. The record is from RNAcentral. Lineage: Bacteria; Bacillati; Bacillota; Bacilli; Caryophanales; Anoxybacillaceae.
UAGUUGCCAUCAUUCAGUUGGGCACUCUAGCGAGACUGCCGGUAUAAACCGGAGGAAGGUGGGGAUGACGUCAAAUCAUCAUGCCCCUUAUGACCUGGGCUACACACGUGCUACAAUGGGCGGUACAAAGGGCUGCGAACCCGCGAGGGGGAGCGAAUCCCAAAAAGCCGCUCUCAGUUCGGAUUGCAGGCUGCAACUCGCCUGCAUGAAGCCGGAAUCGCUAGUAAUCGCGGAUCAGCAUGCCGCGGUGAAUACGUUCCCGGGCCUU